This 228-nucleotide long non-coding RNA is filed under the name Lathyrus oleraceus (garden pea). RNAcentral describes it as "Pisum sativum (pea) long non-coding RNA (PSAT_LNC034387)". The record is from RNAcentral. Lineage: Eukaryota; Viridiplantae; Streptophyta; Magnoliopsida; Fabales; Fabaceae.
UUAACCACUAUAGCGAGUAAUCGUCACUUAUUCAGAAAAAAACACUAUGGAUUCAAUGUAACGAGAAUUCUAUUAAAAUUCUGGCCCAAAACGGGAAAUUACAAAUAGAUUAAAAACAAAAUAAAAGUACAAGCACUAAAAAUAAAAAAUAGCAAGCUAAAAUAAAAUUAGAAAUCAAAAUAAAAAUGAAAAAUAAGAAAAUACAACCGAAACCUAAACGUCGUCAUC